CCAGCAAUUCCCGCUACCCUCGUGAGGAUAAGAGGUGGAAGAAAUGGAUGGAUGGACGAUGGAGCUUUCAAAAAAGGGCAAGUCCAUCAUCUCCAAAAACCUCCUGAAGUGGAGGAUUCGGAAAGUGUUGCCAGUGCUCUAAUUGCCCUUCAAGACCAUCAAAGCAGUGGAACAGGUGGUUCACUGUCACCAUAAAGAACCCCAAGACAUUCAAAACUAUCUACCAUUUACCAUCUCCCAUGAACCUUGAGUCAUUCACCACCAAACAUGAGCCUCUACCAUUCCUCCAAAGAGAGUUGG
Long non-coding RNA from Syngnathoides biaculeatus (alligator pipefish), 300 nucleotides. RefSeq lists it as uncharacterized. The transcript has 3 exons. The record is from RefSeq and is a predicted model, not a curated record. NCBI's taxonomy places the organism in Eukaryota, Metazoa, Chordata, Actinopteri, Syngnathiformes, Syngnathidae.